Molecule: long non-coding RNA, 1104 nt
Filed under: Homo sapiens (human)
Lineage: Eukaryota; Metazoa; Chordata; Mammalia; Primates; Hominidae
Description: long non-coding RNA NONHSAT164130.1
Source: RNAcentral
CGCUCCUGUCCACAAAGUUACCAAGAUUGGCUUCCCUUCCACUACACCAGCCAAAGCCAAGGCCAACGCAGUGAGGCGAGUGAUGGCGACCACGUCCGCCAGCCUGAAGCGCAGCCCUUCUGCCUCUUCCCUCAGCUCCAUGAGCUCAGUGGCCUCCUCUGUGAGCAGCAGGCCCAUUGACUGAAACCUCCUCCCGUUACGCCAGGAAGAUCUCCGGUACCACUGCCCUCCAGGAGGCCCUGAAGGAGAAGCAGCAGCACAUUGAGCAGCUGCUGGCGGAACGGGAUCUGGAGAGGGCGGAGGUGGCCAAGGCCACGAGCCACGUGGGGGAGAUAGAGCAGGAGCUAGCUCUGGCCCGGGACGGACAUGACCAGCAUGUCCUGGAAUUGGAAGCCAAAAUGGACCAGCUGCGAACAAUGGUGGAAGCUGCUGACAGGGAGAAGGUGGAGCUUCUCAACCAGCUUGAAGAGGAGAAAAGGUUGAGGACCUUCAGUUCCGGGUUGAAGAAGAAUCAAUUACCAAAGGUGAUCUUGAGACGCAGACCAAACUGGAGCAUGCCCGCAUUAAGGAGCUUGAACAGAGCCUGCUCUUUGAAAAGACCAAAGCUGACAAACUCCAGAGGGAGUUAGAAGACACUAGGGUGGCUACAGUUUCAGAAAAGUCACGUAUAAUGGAACUGGAGAAAGACCUAGCAUUGAGAGUACAGGAAGUAGCUGAGCUCCGAAGAAGGCUAGAGUCCAAUAAGCCUGCUGGGGAUGUGGACAUGUCACUUUCCCUUUUGCAAGAGAUAAGCUCUUUGCAAGAAAAGUUAGAAGUCACCCGUACUGACCACCAGAGAGAAAUAACUUCUCUGAAGGAGCAUUUUGGAGCCCGGGAAGAAACUCAUCAGAAGGAGAUAAAGGCUCUGUAUACCGCCACGGAAAAGCUUUCCAAAGAGAACGAGUCAUUGAAAAGCAAGCUGGAGCAUGCCAACAAAGAGAACUCAGAUGUGAUAGCUCUAUGGAAGUCCAAACUGGAGACUGCCAUCGCAUCCCACCAGCAGGCGAUGGAAGAACUGAAGGUAUCUUUCAGCAAAGGGCUUGGAACAGAGACGGCAGAAUUUGC